This 21-nucleotide non-coding RNA is filed under the name Caenorhabditis elegans. Lineage: Eukaryota; Metazoa; Nematoda; Chromadorea; Rhabditida; Rhabditidae. The record is from RNAcentral.
UUGAUUUGUAUUUAUAUGACC